This 496-nucleotide ribosomal RNA is filed under the name uncultured bacterium. Its description in RNAcentral is "partial 16S ribosomal RNA". It matches the Rfam family "Bacterial small subunit ribosomal RNA", at positions 29 to 507 of the family's 1533-position model. The record is from RNAcentral.
AUGAACGCUGGCGGCGUGCCUAAUACAUGCAAGUCGAGCGAACGGACGAGAAGCUUGCUUCUCUGAUGUUAGCGGCGGACGGGUGAGUAACACGUGGAUAACCUACCUAUAAGACUGGGAUAACUUCGGGAAACCGGAGCUAAUACCGGAUAAUAUUUUGAACCGCAUGGUUCAAAAGUGAAAGACGGUCUUGCUGUCACUUAUAGAUGGAUCCGCGCUGCAUUAGCUAGUUGGUAAGGUAACGGCUUACCAAGGCAACGAUGCAUAGCCGACCUGAGAGGGUGAUCGGCCACACUGGAACUGAGACACGGUCCAGACUCCUACGGGAGGCAGCAGUAGGGAAUCUUCCGCAAAGGGCGAAAGCCUGACGGAGCAACGCCGCGUGAGUGAUGAAGGUCUUCGGACCGUAAAACUCUGUUAUUAGGGAAGAACAUAUGUGUAAGUAACUGUGCACAUCUUGACGGUACCUAAUCAGAAAGCCACGGCUAACUACGUG